UACGGGGGGGGCAAGCGUUGUUCGGAAUUACUGGGCGUAAAGGGCGCGUAGGCGGCCUAUUAAGUCGGACGUGAAAUCCCUCGGCUCAACCGGGGAACUGCGUCCGAUACUGGCAGGCUUGAAUCCGGGAGAGGGAUGUGGAAUUCCAGGUGUAGCGGUGAAAUGCGUAGAUAUCUGGAGGAAUACCGGUGGCGAAGGCGGCAUCCUGGACCGACAUUGACGCUGAUGAGCGAAAGCUAGGGGAGCAAACGGG
This 253-nucleotide ribosomal RNA is filed under the name uncultured bacterium. RNAcentral describes it as "partial 16S ribosomal RNA". It matches the Rfam family "Bacterial small subunit ribosomal RNA", at positions 524 to 776 of the family's 1533-position model. The record is from RNAcentral.